GCAAUGAAUUUCGCUCUUCCUCGAUAAAAAUGCAUGUAAAUGCAACACUUGAGUAACUGCUCAAUUCUCUUCUCAAUAAACCUAAAACAGCUCAACAUUUGCUCAGUUGUUUAUUCCCUAACAUCUUCAUAUAUAACCGCCGAAGAGAUUUUAAUUUCUACUGGGUUUGCCAUGAAAAGAGCAUUGUUGUCUGAGUCGCCAAAAUGUUGCUCUUAAAUAAUGUAAACCCACUCAAACUCAUAUUUUCACUCCAAACUCAACGCAGUCAAUGCGCAUGCCGGCGACACAUACUCUGCAAGUCGUUGUUGCACUUCCUAUUUGCGGUCCAGAAAAACUUAUUUCUUUAUACUUCGCCUUUUCCCUUUCUCUCGAUUCUAAGCAUUUACACUCAACUGCCGUGCACUCUGUGUACCUAUAUUUAUCAUACAUUUUUACUUCCUCAGCUGUUUUUGCCUUACCAAAAUGGCAACUUCUUUCACCCCCUUUCAGACCACUUUUUUACCGUCUUUUGCUUCAUACUGUUAUGUACUAUAUUCAUUGAUUCUGCAAGCUUUAUAUGUACCUACACAGCAGUAUUUCUUUACUUAGUAUGUACUUUGUGUGCUGUUUUUUUAAGAUUUAAAAUGUCUCCCGCAUAGCUCGAUUUCCUUUCUUUUUUUUUUGUGCAGACAAAGAGGCAUUUAAGUAAGCUGACACUGGCAAAGUGUUUGAUAUCCGCCGUAAGCCAGCUUCAGGCUAAAGCCAAAAUGUGCUAUUGAGAAUGAAUCUUGAAGAUUUCCUGAAAAGCAGGCACUGUUACGCACCACAGCAUGACACGAUUUUAGAAAGAUUUACCAUGAAAUUAUAAUGGACUUAACUGGCAGCCAGAAGCGCCUAAAACACCAUAAAUAAGAUGCCGUACGGUGUUGUUGAUGCGUAGACCCAUAUGAGCGUUUAAAUGAAAAGGCCCGUCUACUAUCAUGAAUCGAAUCUUGGAGCCAUACCUUGAAACGCAGCUUCUUAACAAAAUGAUUAUACAUACGGUGACCAUCCGUCCGGUUUUGUACGGCACAGUCGAAAUUUCCGGGGAGGUAAAAAUCCCGCGCGUAAAACAUGAAGUUAUCGAAUAAUAUCCUAUAAUUUGGUGAUGUUACUACUGAAUAUUUAUGUACAUCUGUAUGCGAUUUCACAAAAUAUCGAAAAACGUAUGUCAAAUAAGGAUUUUGGUUCAGGGCUAAUAAAUCUAAAAUUAUUGGA
This is a long non-coding RNA of Rhagoletis pomonella (apple maggot), 1236 nucleotides long. RefSeq lists it as uncharacterized. The transcript has 2 exons. Lineage: Eukaryota; Metazoa; Arthropoda; Insecta; Diptera; Tephritidae. The record is from RefSeq and is a predicted model, not a curated record.